CAAGAUGGAAAAUCCAAAAAACCAAAUGGAAGCUGUAGAGGUGAAACACAUUUUUUAUCACAUCAAGGAGCUCGCAAACGUAUCGAGGGAAGCUAUCUUCGCUCAGAUCCUUGUCAGGAGGAAAGGAAGGCGUGUUCUUCUGCGAUAAAUGUGCUUUCGAAGAAUUGGCUCCACGAACCAUCGCCAACAUCUCUUCCUUGUUUGAAAACCCAGAGGAGCACAGAGCAAGGAGAAAAUAGCUUCUGCAAACAACACAACCAAAGAAAAAACAAAACCAAAAAAACAAAAAUAUAAAUACAGAUCAAAAUUUCCCUCACUCUUAAAAGGAAAUCUGUAAAAAGUAAAGUAAAACGUUAUUUAUUCACACAACCACAUCUAGAGACCGUAUUCUGGAUGAGGACAGGAGACGAUAGUCUGCCAUCAAAAAAAGUAAGGGACGGCCACGCAAACUGAUGACAGAAAAGAGUGAACCCGCUGUAAAAAUAGAAGGAAAG
This 494-nucleotide long non-coding RNA is filed under the name Manihot esculenta (cassava). RNAcentral describes it as "long non-coding RNA (MESC_LNC002467)". Lineage: Eukaryota; Viridiplantae; Streptophyta; Magnoliopsida; Malpighiales; Euphorbiaceae. The record is from RNAcentral.